GCGGUACAGAGGGUUNCCAACCCGCGAGGGGGAGCUAAUCCCAUNAANCCGUUCCCAGUUNGGAUUGCAGGCUGCAACUCGCCUGCAUGAAGCCGGAAUCGCUAGUAAUCGUGGAUCAGCAUGCCACGGUGAAUACGUUCCCGGGUCUUGUACACACCGCCCGUCACACCACGAGAGUUUGUAACACCCGAAGUCGGUGAGGUAACCCUUUUGGGAGCCAGCCGCCGAAGGUGGGACAGAUGAUUGGGGUGAAGUCGUAACAAGGUAGCC
Molecule: ribosomal RNA, 270 nt
Filed under: unidentified soil organism R6-49
Description: partial 16S ribosomal RNA
Rfam family: Bacterial small subunit ribosomal RNA
Source: RNAcentral